UAAACCGAAAAAAUGGAGGACAACAGUGCCAAGCGCAGCAAGAACUUUUCGAAACAGGAGUUGGAGGUGUUGGUGGAGGAGGUGGUUUCAAGGCAAAGAAUAUUAAUGGGGAAGUUGGAUAACGUAGUCACUGCAGAUAAUAAGAAGAGGGCGUGGGCGAAAGUUGCCCAAUCGGUGUCCGCAGUAGGGGAAACGGAGCGCGAUGCGAUUGCAAUAAAAAAAAAAUGGGCGGACGUAAAAUCCCUCGUAAAGAAAAAAAGCUGCUGAGAGGACGAGGGAGACGAGGAAGACAGGAGGAGGGACGUCCUCUGUUAAACUCGACCCUUUGGAGGAGAAGAUUUUGGGUAUGAUAGGGGAAUCGCUGGUAGGAGGAGUUCAAGGAGGGGUGGACACUGGAGACCACAGCUGUAUGCAGCUGCUACAGCAGACACAAACGGUUGCAACAAUCCAAGUUAUUGUACCCACUGAAGACAUUGUCCCCCCCCACAUUGAACCUGAAGUUCAACAAAAUAAUUCUGAAGAAGAUCUUAGUCUGUCACAACUAAUUUCAGAGUCCAUCCUCCAGCCCACACCAGUGAUGACACACAGCAUGGAGGACAUGAUCUUUAUUCAAAGAGACCUUUUGGAGGAAGUGCGACAACUUAGAAGGGUUCAAGAGCAACUUCUACUGGUGGAGAGAGAGAGACUGCUCUUGGCCAAAGCCAAAUUUGAGCUA
This is a long non-coding RNA of Gadus macrocephalus (Pacific cod), 715 nucleotides long. RefSeq lists it as uncharacterized. NCBI's taxonomy places the organism in Eukaryota, Metazoa, Chordata, Actinopteri, Gadiformes, Gadidae. The transcript is spliced from 3 exons. The record is from RefSeq and is a predicted model, not a curated record.